RNAcentral lists this transfer RNA (76 nucleotides) under Actinobacteria bacterium QS_8_72_14. Its description in RNAcentral is "tRNA-Met". It matches the Rfam family "tRNA". Rfam says of the family: Transfer RNA (tRNA) molecules are approximately 80 nucleotides in length. Their secondary structure includes four short double-helical elements and three loops (D, anti-codon, and T loops). Lineage: Bacteria; Bacillati; Actinomycetota. The record is from RNAcentral.
GGGCCCGUAGCUCAGUGGUCAGAGCAGACGGCUCAUAACCGUUUGGUCGCGGGUUCGAUCCCCGCCGGGCCCACCC